GUUUAAAUUAAUUUUAAGUAUACAAGAGUCCUUACCUAGUGCUACAAUAAUAUUAAAAAAUGCAUAUAUAAUAAAUAAAACGCAUAAACUUUUUAAGGUAAAACGGUAAAUGCCACAAUACUGCUGACUGCCGCUGCAAUAGCUCCGACCACAAAUCCUGGUAAGUUUCCAUCUCCAAAUAACGCAUCAAUAGGACCAACUCCAAACGAUACAAUCAUUUGUGGUAUGACAAUUGCCAUGUUUAAAACUCCUAGAGAAAGUCCUGCAAAGAUGACAACAAAAAAGACACAUCAUUAUUAAUUU
This 303-nucleotide small RNA is filed under the name Arabidopsis thaliana (thale cress). Its description in RNAcentral is "ATSL066500". The record is from RNAcentral. Lineage: Eukaryota; Viridiplantae; Streptophyta; Magnoliopsida; Brassicales; Brassicaceae.